GUAGACUCUUGUCCAACCGGGCCAACAUCAGAUCUCGCGUUCUCUUGGCGAUGCUGCGUCAAUGAGGACCGUUUUCUCUUGUAGCGUGAAGUCUUGUUUCUUCCUAUCUGUUUCAGUUUUUAAUGGUCUGCUGAAAGGAUCAAAUAGGUUCACAAGAGAUAUGGUAAAGGUGCGAAAGCUUUGUGGAGUGCCUCUUUUUAGUGGCAUUGCAGAUGCGAGAGGCACUCGAGGUCAAUAAGGAAGGGAUGAUUCCGCUGCAUAGUCUGCCUGGACUGGACUUCAUGUUCUAAUUGGGCUUUUGUUUAGGGCUAUGACCCAUGUACUGCUUUACUCUUUAUUACUCUAUUAACUAUUGUUAGCUCCUUGGAUUUCAUUUGUAUCUGGCAGCAUGGAGUGCCUUGGCUCGCCUAGCAUUUUCUGGAUAUUGUAAGGAGUAGCGUUUAUACUCCAGGACUUGUCUCUAAAUUUCUAUUUG
Vigna unguiculata (cowpea) is the source of this 475-nucleotide long non-coding RNA. RefSeq lists it as uncharacterized. The record is from RefSeq and is a predicted model, not a curated record. Lineage: Eukaryota; Viridiplantae; Streptophyta; Magnoliopsida; Fabales; Fabaceae.